UAGGGAGGAAGGUAGUCGUAGUUAACACCUGCAUUAUUUGACGUUACCUACAGAAGAAGCACCGGCUAACUCCGUGCCAGCAGCCGCGGUAAUACGGAGGGUGCGAGCGUUAAUCGGAAUUACUGGGCGUAAAAGCGCAUGCAGGCGGCCUGUUAAAGUCAGAUGUGAAAAAACCCGGGCUUAAACCUCGGAAAUUGCAUUUGAAAACUGGCAGGCUAGAGUCUUGUAGAGGGGGUAGAAUUUCAGGUGUAGCGGUGAAAAUGCGUAGAGAUCUGAAGGAAUACCAGUGGCGAAGGCGGCCCCCUGGACAAAGACUGACGCUCAGAUGCGAAAGCGUGGGGAGCAAACAGGAUUAGAUACCCUGGUAG
This 368-nucleotide ribosomal RNA is filed under the name uncultured bacterium. Its description in RNAcentral is "bacterial SSU rRNA". It matches the Rfam family "Bacterial small subunit ribosomal RNA", at positions 440 to 793 of the family's 1533-position model. The record is from RNAcentral.